GAGGUUAAGCGACUAAGCGUACACGGUGGAUGCCCUGGCAGUCAGAGGCGAUGAAGGACGUGCUAAUCUGCGAUAAGCGCCGGUAAGGUGAUAUGAACCGUUAUAACCGGCGAUUUCCGAAUGGGGAAACCCAGUGUGACUCGUCACACUAUCAUUAACUGAAUCCAUAGGUUAAUGAGGCGAACCGGGGGAACUGAAACAUCUAAGUACCCCGAGGAAAAGAAAUCAACCGAGAUUCCCCCAGUAGCGGCGAGCGAACGGGGAGGAGCCCAGAGCCUGAAUCAGCAUGUGUGUUAGUGGAAGCGUCUGGAAAGGCGCGCGAUACAGGGUGACAGCCCCGUACACAAAAGCGCAUGUGCUGUGAGCUCGAUGAGUAGGGCGGGACACGUGGUAUCCUGUCUGAAUAUGGGGGGACCAUCCUCCAAGGCUAAAUACUCCUGACUGACCGAUAGUGAACCAGUACCGUGAGGGAAAGGCGAAAAGAACCCCGGCGAGGGGAGUGAAAAAGAACCUGAAACCGUGUACGUACAAGCAGUGGGAGCACCCUUUGGGGUGUGACUGCGUACCUUUUGUAUAAUGGGUCAGCGACUUAUAUUCUGUAGCAAGGUUAACCGAAUAGGGGAGCCGGAGGGAAACCGAGUCUUAAUUGGGCGUUAAGUUGCAGGGUAUAGACCCGAAACCCGGUGAUCUAGCCAUGGGCAGGUUGAAGGUUGGGUAACACUAACUGGAGGACCGAACCGACUAAUGUUGAAAAAUUAGCGGAUGACCUGUGGCUGGGGGUGAAAGGCCAAUCAAACCGGGAGAUAGCUGGUUCUCCCCGAAAGCUAUUUAGGUA
RNAcentral lists this ribosomal RNA (835 nucleotides) under Salmonella enterica. RNAcentral describes it as "partial 23S ribosomal RNA". It matches the Rfam family "Bacterial large subunit ribosomal RNA", at positions 1 to 876 of the family's 2925-position model. Lineage: Bacteria; Pseudomonadati; Pseudomonadota; Gammaproteobacteria; Enterobacterales; Enterobacteriaceae. The record is from RNAcentral.